UACGGGGGGGGCAAGCGUUGUUCGGAAUUACUGGGCGUAAAGGGCUCGUAGGCGGCCAACUAAGUCAGACGUGAAAUCCCUCGGCUUAACCGGGGAACUGCGUCUGAUACUGGAUGGCUUGAGAUUGGGAGAGGGAUGCGGAAUUCCAGGUGUAGCGGUGAAAUGCGUAGAUAUCUGGAGGAACACCGGUGGCGAAGGCGGGUCUCUGGGCAACAACUGACGCUGAGGAGCGAAAGCGUGGGGAGCGAACAGG
This 253-nucleotide ribosomal RNA is filed under the name uncultured bacterium. RNAcentral describes it as "partial 16S ribosomal RNA". It matches the Rfam family "Bacterial small subunit ribosomal RNA", at positions 524 to 776 of the family's 1533-position model. The record is from RNAcentral.